Molecule: non-coding RNA, 23 nt
Filed under: Arabidopsis thaliana (thale cress)
Lineage: Eukaryota; Viridiplantae; Streptophyta; Magnoliopsida; Brassicales; Brassicaceae
Source: RNAcentral
AGUAGUGUUUCCUUGUUAGAAGA